RNAcentral lists this ribosomal RNA (264 nucleotides) under uncultured bacterium. RNAcentral describes it as "partial 16S ribosomal RNA". It matches the Rfam family "Bacterial small subunit ribosomal RNA", at positions 334 to 615 of the family's 1533-position model. The record is from RNAcentral.
CGUUCCUACGGGAGGCAGCAGUAGGGAAUAUUGCUCAAUGGGGGAAACCCUGAAGCAGCAACGCCGCGUGGAGGAUGAAGGUUUUAGGAUUGUAAACUCCUUUUGUUAGAGAAGAUUAUGACGGUAUCUAACGAAUAAGCACCGGCUAACUCCGUGCCAGCAGCCGCGGUAAUACGGUGGGUGCAAGCGUUACUCGGAAUCACUGGGCGUAAAGAGUGCGUAGGCGGGGCAAUAAGUCAGAUGUGAAAUCCUGCAGCUUCACUA